RNAcentral lists this ribosomal RNA (253 nucleotides) under uncultured bacterium. RNAcentral's name for it is "partial 16S ribosomal RNA". It matches the Rfam family "Bacterial small subunit ribosomal RNA", at positions 524 to 776 of the family's 1533-position model. The record is from RNAcentral.
UACGUAGGUGGCAAGCGUUGUCCGGAAUUAUUGGGCGUAAAGCGCGCGCAGGCGGUCCUUUAAGUCUGCUGUGAAAGCCCACGGCUCAACCGUGGAGGGUCAUUGGAAACUGGGUGACUGGAGUGUAGGAGAGGAAAGUGGAAUUCCACGUGUAGCGGUGAAAUGCGUAGAGAUGUGGAGGAACACCAGUGGCGAAGGCGACUUUCUGGCCUAUAACUGACGCUGAGGCGCGAAAGCGUGGGGAGCAAACAGG